This is a long non-coding RNA of Gallus gallus (chicken), 641 nucleotides long. The record is from Ensembl. NCBI's taxonomy places the organism in Eukaryota, Metazoa, Chordata, Aves, Galliformes, Phasianidae.
AGUGCUUUCAGCUAUUUCAUAUGGAAAUAGUAAUACAUUAACUCUCAGCCCAGAGGACUGUAAGUCUCUUGUUAUUGUGGCAUAUCUAUUAAAAGAAAAAAAAAAAAAAAAAGAGAGAGAGAGAGAGAGAGAGAGAGAGGGAAAGAAGGGAGUGAACACAGCUCCUUGGUGGUGCUCAUGAUAAAGCAUUCUCAGCUGGAUCUGACAUUCACCUUGGGAUAUGAAAUAUUGUAAAACCAGGCACAAACAAACAAAAACCCUCUUGCUCUGACAUCCUAACUCCACUUUCUCAAAAUGAAGCAUGAAUGAAGAAAAAGAUAGAAAGAAGACACAUGUCACAAGUUUCCUAGGCAUAGUGAAGUACAGGAAAGGGUUGAGGAUGGAAGAAUAUAAAGCAUCAGUGAUAGGAUAGGCAAGGGGAAUAAAUAAUAAAGAAUAGAGAAUGAAAAACAAAAGAAUAAAGAACUAAGAAUUAAGAAUAAAGAAAACAACUCACUGCACCUCCAGCUUCCAAAUCAAAAAGUGAUCACCUGGAUUUUGAUGACUAAGAAAUAUCAGUGAUCUUUGCUACCAAUGCUAACUGAAAGCUUGAGUUCUAUUGUAUUGUAUGCUUAUAGCUAAUUUAGGAAAAGCUUGUUAUG